GACGAACGCUGGCGGCGUGCUUAACACAUGCAAGUCGAACGGAAAGGCCCUGCUUUUGUGGGGUGCUCGAGUGGCGAACGGUUGAGUAACACGUUAGUAACCUGCCCUUGACUUUGGGAUAACUUCAGUAAACUGUGGCUAAUACCGGAUAGGAGCUCCUCCUGCAUGGUGGGGGUUGGAAAGUUUCGGCGGUUUGGGAUGGACUCGCGGAUUCUCAGCUUGUUGGUGGGGUAGUGGCUUACCAAGGCUUUGACGGGUAGCCGGCCUGAGAGGGUGACCGGCCACAUUGGGACUGAGAUACGGCCCAGACUCCUACGGGAGGCAGCAGUGGGGAAUAUUGCACAAUGGGCGGAAGCCUGAUGCAGCAACGCCGCGUGCGGGAUGAAGGCCGUCGGGUUGUAAACCGCUUUCGCCUGUGACGAAGAGUGAGUGACGGUAAUGGGUAAAGAAGCACCGGCUAACUACGUG
RNAcentral lists this ribosomal RNA (468 nucleotides) under uncultured bacterium. RNAcentral's name for it is "partial 16S ribosomal RNA". It matches the Rfam family "Bacterial small subunit ribosomal RNA", at positions 28 to 507 of the family's 1533-position model. The record is from RNAcentral.